This 473-nucleotide ribosomal RNA is filed under the name uncultured delta proteobacterium. RNAcentral's name for it is "bacterial SSU rRNA". It matches the Rfam family "Bacterial small subunit ribosomal RNA", at positions 400 to 863 of the family's 1533-position model. Lineage: Bacteria; Deltaproteobacteria. The record is from RNAcentral.
CGUGAGUGAAGAAGGCCUUUGGGUCGUAAAGCUCUGUCGACAGGGAAGAAGUUAUAGAUAUCUAAUAGGUGUUUAUAUUGACGGUACCUGUAGAGGAAGCACCGGCUAACUCCGUGCCAGCAGCCGCGGUAAUACGGGGGGUGCAAGCGUUAUUCGGAAUUAUUGGGCGUAAAGGGCGCGUAGGCGGCCUUGUCGGUCAGAUGUGAAAGCCCAGGGCUCAACCCUGGACGUGCAUUUGAAACAGCAAGGCUUGAGUACGGGAGAGGAAAGCGGAAUUCCUGGUGUAGGGGUGAAAUUCGUAGAUAUCAGGAGGAACACCGAUGGCGAAGGCAGCUUUCUGGACCGAUACUGACGCUGAGGCGCGAAGGCGUGGGUAGCGAACGGGAUUAGAUACCCCGGUAGUCCACGCAGUAAACGAUGUACACUAGGUGUGUCGGAUAUUAAAAUCUGAUGUGCCGGAGCUAACGUGUUAA